This 499-nucleotide ribosomal RNA is filed under the name Paenibacillaceae bacterium CL6.79. RNAcentral's name for it is "bacterial SSU rRNA". It matches the Rfam family "Bacterial small subunit ribosomal RNA", at positions 22 to 498 of the family's 1533-position model. Lineage: Bacteria; Bacillati; Bacillota; Bacilli; Caryophanales; Paenibacillaceae. The record is from RNAcentral.
GCUCAGGACGAACGCUGGCGGCAUGCCUAAUACAUGCAAGUCGAGCGGAGUUCUGUUGAAAGCUUGCUUUCAACAGGAUUUAGCGGCGGACGGGUGAGUAACACGUAGGCAACCUGCCCCUUAGCCUGGGAUAACUACCGGAAACGGUAGCUAAUACCGGAUAAUUCCUUUCCCCUCCUGGGGAGAGGAUGAAAGACGGAGCAAUCUGUCGCUGAGGGAUGGGCCUGCGGCGCAUUAGCUAGUUGGUGGGGUAAUGGCUCACCAAGGCGACGAUGCGUAGCCGACCUGAGAGGGUGAACGGCCACACUGGGACUGAGACACGGCCCAGACUCCUACGGGAGGCAGCAGUAGGGAAUCUUCCGCAAUGGGCGCAAGCCUGACGGAGCAAUGCCGCGUGAGUGAUGAAGGUUUUCGGAUCGUAAAGCUCUGUUGCCAGGGAAGAACGUCUUAUAGAGUAACUGCUAUAAGAGUGACGGUACCUGAGAAGAAAGCCCCGGCU